Molecule: ribosomal RNA, 3092 nt
Filed under: Salmonella enterica subsp. enterica
Lineage: Bacteria; Pseudomonadati; Pseudomonadota; Gammaproteobacteria; Enterobacterales; Enterobacteriaceae
Description: 23S ribosomal RNA
Rfam family: Bacterial large subunit ribosomal RNA
Source: RNAcentral
GGUUAAGCGACUAAGCGUACACGGUGGAUGCCCUGGCAGUCAGAGGCGAUGAAGGGCGUGCUAAUCUGCGAUAAGCGCCGGUAAGGUGAUAUGAACCGUUAUAACCGGCGAUACCCGAAUGGGGAAACCCAGUGUGAUUCGUCACACUAUCAUUAACUGAAUCCAUAGGUUAAUGAGGCGAACCGGGGGAACUGAAACAUCUAAGUACCCCGAGGAAAAGAAAUCAACCGAGAUUCCCCCAGUAGCGGCGAGCGAACGGGGAGGAGCCCAGAGCCUGAAUCAGCAUGUGUGUUAGUGGAAGCGUCUGGAAAGGCGCGCGAUACAGGGUGACAGCCCCGUACACAAAAGCGCAUGUGCUGUGAGCUCGAUGAGUAGGGCGGGACACGUGGUAUCCUGUCUGAAUAUGGGGGGACCAUCCUCCAAGGCUAAAUACUCCUGACUGACCGAUAGUGAACCAGUACCGUGAGGGAAAGGCGAAAAGAACCCCGGCGAGGGGAGUGAAAAAGAACCUGAAACCGUGUACGUACAAGCAGUGGGAGCCCCACCACCAAAGCAUUCUAUGGUGUUGAAGGCCCUGCAAAGCAGCAUCGCGGUGGCGGAGCGUCGUUUGCGACGCCCAACACACAAAACAAGCGGUGAGUGCUUUGGGGUGGGGUGACUGCGUACCUUUUGUAUAAUGGGUCAGCGACUUAUAUUCUGUAGCAAGGUUAACCGAAUAGGGGAGCCGGAGGGAAACCGAGUCUUAAUUGGGCGUUAAGUUGCAGGGUAUAGACCCGAAACCCGGUGAUCUAGCCAUGGGCAGGUUGAAGGUUGGGUAACACUAACUGGAGGACCGAACCGACUAAUGUUGAAAAAUUAGCGGAUGACCUGUGGCUGGGGGUGAAAGGCCAAUCAAACCGGGAGAUAGCUGGUUCUCCCCGAAAGCUAUUUAGGUAGCGCCUCGUGAAUUCAUCUCCGGGGGUAGAGCACUGUUUCGGCUAGGGGGCCAUCCCGGCUUACCAACCCGAUGCAAACUGCGAAUACCGGAGAAUGUUAUCACGGGAGACACACGGCGGGUGCUAACGUCCGUCGUGAAGAGGGAAACAACCCAGACCGCCAGCUAAGGUCCCAAAGUCAUGGUUAAGUGGGAAACGAUGUGGGAAGGCCCAGACAGCCAGGAUGUUGGCUUAGAAGCAGCCAUCAUUUAAAGAAAGCGUAAUAGCUCACUGGUCGAGUCGGCCUGCGCGGAAGAUGUAACGGGGCUAAACCAUGCACCGAAGCUGCGGCAGCGAACGUAUCACCCAAGACAACUUUACGGAGUUGACGAUUGACGGAGCGAAGCGACGUCAAAGCGUUCAUUAAAGUCGAGUUGGCUUAGGGAUACGUUCGUUGGGUAGGGGAGCGUUCUGUAAGCCUGUGAAGGUGUGUCGUGAGGCAUGCUGGAGGUAUCAGAAGUGCGAAUGCUGACAUAAGUAACGAUAAAGCGGGUGAAAAGCCCGCUCGCCGGAAGACCAAGGGUUCCUGUCCAACGUUAAUCGGGGCAGGGUGAGUCGACCCCUAAGGCGAGGCCGAAAGGCGUAGUCGAUGGGAAACGGGUUAAUAUUCCCGUACUUGGUGUUACUGCGAAGGGGGGACGGAGAAGGCUAUGUUGGCCGGGCGACGGUUGUCCCGGUUUAAGCGUGUAGGUGUGUGUUCCAGGUAAAUCCGGUUCACUUUAACACUGAGGCGUGACGACGAGGCACUACGGUGCUGAAGCAACAAAUGCCCUGCUUCCAGGAAAAGCCUCUAAGCAUCAGGUAACAUCAAAUCGUACCCCAAACCGACACAGGUGGUCAGGUAGAGAAUACCAAGGCGCUUGAGAGAACUCGGGUGAAGGAACUAGGCAAAAUGGUGCCGUAACUUCGGGAGAAGGCACGCUGACACGUAGGUGAAGUGAUUUACUCAUGGAGCUGAAGUCAGUCGAAGAUACCAGCUGGCUGCAACUGUUUAUUAAAAACACAGCACUGUGCAAACACGAAAGUGGACGUAUACGGUGUGACGCCUGCCCGGUGCCGGAAGGUUAAUUGAUGGGGUCAGCGCAAGCGAAGCUCCUGAUCGAAGCCCCGGUAAACGGCGGCCGUAACUAUAACGGUCCUAAGGUAGCGAAAUUCCUUGUCGGGUAAGUUCCGACCUGCACGAAUGGCGUAAUGAUGGCCAGGCUGUCUCCACCCGAGACUCAGUGAAAUUGAACUCGCUGUGAAGAUGCAGUGUACCCGCGGCAAGACGGAAAGACCCCGUGAACCUUUACUAUAGCUUGACACUGAACAUUGAGCCUUGAUGUGUAGGAUAGGUGGGAGGCUUUGAAGUGUGGACGCCAGUCUGCAUGGAGCCGACCUUGAAAUACCACCCUUUAAUGUUUGAUGUUCUAACGUGGACCCGUAAUCCGGGUUGCGGACAGUGUCUGGUGGGUAGUUUGACUGGGGCGGUCUCCUCCUAAAGAGUAACGGAGGAGCACGAAGGUUGGCUAAUCCUGGUCGGACAUCAGGAGGUUAGUGCAAUGGCAUAAGCCAGCUUGACUGCGAGCGUGACGGCGCGAGCAGGUGCGAAAGCAGGUCAUAGUGAUCCGGUGGUUCUGAAUGGAAGGGCCAUCGCUCAACGGAUAAAAGGUACUCCGGGGAUAACAGGCUGAUACCGCCCAAGAGUUCAUAUCGACGGCGGUGUUUGGCACCUCGAUGUCGGCUCAUCACAUCCUGGGGCUGAAGUAGGUCCCAAGGGUAUGGCUGUUCGCCAUUUAAAGUGGUACGCGAGCUGGGUUUAGAACGUCGUGAGACAGUUCGGUCCCUAUCUGCCGUGGGCGCUGGAGAACUGAGGGGGGCUGCUCCUAGUACGAGAGGACCGGAGUGGACGCAUCACUGGUGUUCGGGUUGUCAUGCCAAUGGCACUGCCCGGUAGCUAAAUGCGGAAGAGAUAAGUGCUGAAAGCAUCUAAGCACGAAACUUGCCCCGAGAUGAGUUCUCCCUGAGACUUAGAGUCUCCUGAAGGAACGUUGAAGACGACGACGUUGAUAGGCCGGGUGUGUAAGCGCAGCGAUGCGUUGAGCUAACCGGUACUAAUGAACCGUGAGGCUUAACCUU